Molecule: ribosomal RNA, 712 nt
Filed under: Salmonella enterica
Lineage: Bacteria; Pseudomonadati; Pseudomonadota; Gammaproteobacteria; Enterobacterales; Enterobacteriaceae
Also listed under: 1 other name
Description: partial 23S ribosomal RNA
Rfam family: Bacterial large subunit ribosomal RNA
Source: RNAcentral
CCGUGAACCUUUACUAUAGCUUGACACUGAACAUUGAGCCUUGAUGUGUAGGAUAGGUGGGAGGCUUUGAAGCGUGGACGCCAGUCUGCGUGGAGCCGACCUUGAAAUACCACCCUUUAAUGUUUGAUGUUCUAACGUGGACCCGUAAUCCGGGUUGCGGACAGUGUCUGGUGGGUAGUUUGACUGGGGCGGUCUCCUCCUAAAGAGUAACGGAGGAGCACGAAGGUUGGCUAAUCCUGGUCGGACAUCAGGAGGUUAGUGCAAUGGCAUAAGCCAGCUUGACUGCGAGCGUGACGGCGCGAGCAGGUGCGAAAGCAGGUCAUAGUGAUCCGGUGGUUCUGAAUGGAAGGGCCAUCGCUCAACGGAUAAAAGGUACUCCGGGGAUAACAGGCUGAUACCGCCCAAGAGUUCAUAUCGACGGCGGUGUUUGGCACCUCGAUGUCGGCUCAUCACAUCCUGGGGCUGAAGUAGGUCCCAAGGGUAUGGCUGUUCGCCAUUUAAAGUGGUACGCGAGCUGGGUUUAGAACGUCGUGAGACAGUUCGGUCCCUAUCUGCCGUGGGCGCUGGAGAACUGAGGGGGGCUGCUCCUAGUACGAGAGGACCGGAGUGGACGCAUCACUGGUGUUCGGGUUGUCAUGCCAAUGGCACUGCCCGGUAGCUAAAUGCGGAAGAGAUAAGUGCUGAAAGCAUCUAAGCACGAAACUUGCCCCGA